GAUGAACGCUGGCGGCGUGCCUAAUACAUGCAAGUCGAGCGAACAGACGAGGAGCUCGCUCCUCUGACGUUAGCGGCGGACGGGUGAGUAACACGUGGAUAACCUACCUAUAAGACUGGGAUAACUUCGGGAAACCGGAGCUAAUACCGGAUAAUAUAUUGAACCGCAUGGUUCAAUAGUGAAAGACGGUUUUGCUGUCACUUAUAGAUGGAUCCGCGCCGCAUUAGCUAGUUGGUAAGGUAACGGCUUACCAAGGCAACGAUGCGUAGCCGACCUGAGAGGGUGAUCGGCCACACUGGAACUGAGACACGGUCCAGACUCCUACGGGGGGCAGCAGUAGGGAAUCUUCCGCAAUGGGCGAAAGCCUGACGGAGCAACGCCGCGUGAGUGAUGAAGGUCUUCGGAUCGUAAAACUCUGUUAUUAGGGAAGAACAAAUGUGUAAGUAACUAUGCACGUCUUGACGGUACCUAAUCAGAAAGCCACGGCUAACUACGUG
This 497-nucleotide ribosomal RNA is filed under the name uncultured bacterium. RNAcentral's name for it is "partial 16S ribosomal RNA". It matches the Rfam family "Bacterial small subunit ribosomal RNA", at positions 28 to 507 of the family's 1533-position model. The record is from RNAcentral.